RNAcentral lists this ribosomal RNA (498 nucleotides) under uncultured bacterium. RNAcentral's name for it is "partial 16S ribosomal RNA". It matches the Rfam family "Bacterial small subunit ribosomal RNA", at positions 30 to 523 of the family's 1533-position model. The record is from RNAcentral.
ACUGAACGCUGGCGGCAUGCCUUACACAUGCAAGUCGAACGGUAACAGGUCUUCGGAUGCUGACGAGUGGCGAACGGGUGAGUAAUACAUCGGAACGUGCCUAGUAGUGGGGGAUAACUACUCGAAAGAGUGGCUAAUACCGCAUGAGAUCUACGGAUGAAAGCAGGGGAUCGCAAGACCUUGUGCUACUAGAGCGGCCGAUGGCAGAUUAGGUAGUUGGUGGGAUAAAAGCUUACCAAGCCGACGAUCUGUAGCUGGUCUGAGAGGACGAUCAGCCACACUGGGACUGAGACACGGCCCAGACUCCUACGGGAGGCAGCAGUGGGGAAUUUUGGACAAUGGGCGCAAGCCUGAUCCAGCAAUGCCGCGUGCAGGAUGAAGGCCUUCGGGUUGUAAACUGCUUUUGUACGGAACGAAAAGCCCUGGGUUAAUACCCUGGGGUCAUGACGGUACCGUAAGAAUAAGCACCGGCUAACUACGUGCCAGCCGCCGCGGUAA